UACAGAGGUCCCAAGCGUUGUUCGGAUUUACUGGGCGUAAAGGGUGCGUAGGUGGCCCUGUAAGUCAGUGCUGAAAUAUCCCAGCUUAACUGGGAGGGUGGCAUUGAUACUGCGGGGCUAGAGUACAGAUGAGGUAGGCGGAAUUGACGGUGUAGCGGUGAAAUGCUUAGAUAUCGUCAAGAACACCUAUAGCGAAGGCAGCUUACUAGGCUGUAACUGACGCUGAGGCACGAAAGCGUGGGGAGCAAACAGG
Molecule: ribosomal RNA, 253 nt
Filed under: uncultured bacterium
Lineage: Bacteria
Description: partial 16S ribosomal RNA
Rfam family: Bacterial small subunit ribosomal RNA
Source: RNAcentral